Molecule: long non-coding RNA, 172 nt
Organism: Conger conger (European conger)
Lineage: Eukaryota; Metazoa; Chordata; Actinopteri; Anguilliformes; Congridae
Exons: 3
Source: RefSeq, a predicted model, not a curated record
GGCCUUCUUAUUUAUGUUUCAGAUUCCCACUCGCAGAACUGCUGAAUACUCCGUUGAGAUGGAAUACAUUGGAGCAGCAGUCGUUGGUGCAGGUUUGGCGGUGGUCGGAGUUCCAGCGGCUGUCGCGGGAUUGGGAUUCGCGGCUGGCGGAAUCGCGGCUGGAUCCAUCGGU